This 85-nucleotide transfer RNA is filed under the name Allofournierella massiliensis. Its description in RNAcentral is "Fournierella massiliensis tRNA-Leu". It matches the Rfam family "tRNA". Rfam says of the family: Transfer RNA (tRNA) molecules are approximately 80 nucleotides in length. Their secondary structure includes four short double-helical elements and three loops (D, anti-codon, and T loops). Further hydrogen bonds mediate the characteristic L-shaped molecular structure. tRNAs have two regions of fundamental functional importance: the anti-codon, which is responsible for specific mRNA codon recognition, and the 3' end, to which the tRNAs corresponding amino acid is attached (by aminoacyl-tRNA synthetases). tRNAs cope with the degeneracy of the genetic code in two manners: having more than one tRNA (with a specific anti-codon) for a particular amino acid; and 'wobble' base-pairing, i.e. permitting non-standard base-pairing at the 3rd anti-codon position. The record is from RNAcentral. Lineage: Bacteria; Bacillati; Bacillota; Clostridia; Eubacteriales; Oscillospiraceae.
GCCGCUGUGGCGGAACUGGCAGACGCAAGGGACUUAAAAUCCCUCGCCCCAAUAAGGCGUACCGGUUCGAUCCCGGUCAGCGGCA